GAUGAACGCUAGCGAUAGGCUUAACACAUGCAAGUCGAGGGGCAGCACAAGGUAGCUUGCUAUCUGGGUGGCGACCGGCGCACGGGUGCGUAACGCGUAUGCAACUUGCCCUAUACAGGAGGAUAACCCGUCGAAAGACGGACUAAUACUGCGUAUGCUCACAACUUGGCAUCAAGUGGUGAGGAAAGAAAUUCGGUAUAGGAUAGGCAUGCGUCCCAUUAGCUUGUUGGUGAGGUAACGGCUCACCAAGGCAACGAUGGGUAGGGGAACUGAGAGGUUUAUCCCCCACACUGGUACUGAGACACGGACCAGACUCCUACGGGAGGCAGCAGUGAGGAAUAUUGGUCAAUGGGCGCGGGCCUGAACCAGCCAAGUCGCGUGAAGGAUGACUGUCUUAUGGAUUGUAAACUUCUUUUAUACGGGAAUAACAAGAGUCACGUGUGACUCCCUGCAUGUACCGUAUGAAUAAGCAUCGGCUAACUCCGUG
This 487-nucleotide ribosomal RNA is filed under the name uncultured bacterium. RNAcentral's name for it is "partial 16S ribosomal RNA". It matches the Rfam family "Bacterial small subunit ribosomal RNA", at positions 28 to 507 of the family's 1533-position model. The record is from RNAcentral.